GGGGACUGAGACACUGCCCAGACUCCUACGGGAGGCUGCAGUCGAGAAUCUUCCGCAAUGCGCGAAAGCGUGACGGAGCGACGCCGCGUGGGGGACGAAGGCCUUCGGGUUGUAAACUCCUUACAGAGGGUAUGAAGGUGCCUGUUGACCCACUUCGGGCACUUGACGUCAACCUCAAAUGAAGCUCCGGCUAACUACGUGCCAGCAGCCGCGGUAAUACGUAGGGAGCUAGCGUUGUUCGGAAUCACUGGGCAUAAAGGGUGCGUAGGCGGUUCGUCGUGUCCGUUGUGAAAUCCCCCGGCUCACCCGGGGAAGUGCGGCGGAAACUGGCGGGCUUGAGGACAGAAGGGGAGAGUGGAACUCUAGGUGGAGCGGUGAAAUGCGUUGAUAUCUAGGGGAACGCCGGAGGCGAAAGCGGCUCUCUGGUCUGUCUCUGACGCUGAGGCACGAAAGCUAGGGUAGCGAACGGGAUUAGAUACCCCGGUAGUCCUAGCCGUAAACGAUGGGCACUAGAUGGAGGAGGAUUCAACGCCUUCUCUGUCGAAGCUAAUGUGGUAAGUGCCCCGCCUGGGGAGUAUGGUCGCAAGGCUAAAACUCAAAGGAAUUGACGGGGGCUCGCACAAGCGGUGGAGCAUGUUGCUUAAUUCGAAACAACGCGAAGAACCUUACCAGGGCUUGACAGUGAGAAGUAGGAUCCCGAAAGGGUAACGACCGGUACCCAAUCCGGAACUCAAACAGGUGUUGCAUGGCUGUCGUCAGCUCGUGUCGUGAGAUGUUGGGUUAAGUCCCGUAACGAGCGAAACCCCUGUCCUUAGUUGCCAGCGGUUCUGCCGCGCACUCUAAGGAGACUGCCGCGUUAAAGUUGGAGGAAGGUGGGGAUGACGUCAAGUCAUCAUGGCCCUUACGCCCUGGGCUGCAAACGUGCUACAAUGGCCGGUACAAAGAGAAGCAAGGCCGCAAGGUGGAGCAAAUCUCACAAAGCCGGUCCCAGUUCGGAUCGGGGGCUGCAAUUCGCCCCCGUGAAGUUGGAAUCGCUAGUAACCGCGGAUCAGCUACGCCGCGGUGAAUAUGUUCCCGAGCCUUGUACACACCGCCCGUCAAGCCACCCGAGCAGGGCGCACCCGAAAUCCGUGACCCAACUCACUUCGGUGGGAGGGAGCGGCUGAAGGUGAGCUUUGUAAGGGGGACUAAGUCGAAACAAGGUA
Molecule: ribosomal RNA, 1205 nt
Filed under: metagenome
Description: bacterial SSU rRNA
Rfam family: Bacterial small subunit ribosomal RNA
Source: RNAcentral